Vollenhovia emeryi is the source of this 434-nucleotide long non-coding RNA. RefSeq lists it as uncharacterized. The transcript has 2 exons. Lineage: Eukaryota; Metazoa; Arthropoda; Insecta; Hymenoptera; Formicidae. The record is from RefSeq and is a predicted model, not a curated record.
GUUCUUCUUAAUACGUAAAGCUUAUGCAAAUAAAGUCCUCUUCCUACAAGAGAUUUAAGUGAUAAAUAUUCAUCAUAAUACACAUAACAAUCUUGCGAUAUACAGGGUGAGUUUUAGCAGAGAGAAAUCUGAAAGCGGCCACGCCGGCGUUUUACUUGAUACCGUUUUCUUCAACUGAUUCCAGCGCUUUACGCCCAUUUUCAUUUUUGGAACUAUUCUGCUACACCUAUUUUCAAGCACUGCCGAUAAAGUCUCCACUUGGAAAGAGACAAUGGAAUCGAUUCAUGGAUAGCCUCAAAAAGCGAAGAGUUUUUUCGACGUGGUAUUCGUAUGCUGCCAGAAAGAUGGGAAAAAGUAGUGGCUAACGAUGGACAAUACCUUGAAUAAAUUAUAUAUGUACAGUUUUUCACAAUAAAGCUGCAAUUUUUCCAAAA